RNAcentral lists this ribosomal RNA (492 nucleotides) under uncultured bacterium. RNAcentral's name for it is "partial 16S ribosomal RNA". It matches the Rfam family "Bacterial small subunit ribosomal RNA", at positions 28 to 507 of the family's 1533-position model. The record is from RNAcentral.
GAUGAACGCUAGCUACAGGCUUAACACAUGCAAGUCGAGGGGAAACGACAUCGAAAGCUUGCUUUUGAUGGGCGUCGACCGGCGCACGGGUGAGUAACGCGUAUCCAACCUGCCCACCACUUGGGGAUAACCUUGCGAAAGUAAGACUAAUACCCAAUGAUAUCCCACGAAGACAUCUGAAUGGGAUUAAAGAUUUAUCGGUGAUGGAUGGGGAUGCGUCUGAUUAGCUUGUUGGCGGGGUAACGGCCCACCAAGGCAACGAUCAGUAGGGGUUCUGAGAGGAAGGCCCCCCACAUUGGAACUGAGACACGGUCCAAACUCCUACGGGAGGCAGCAGUGAGGAAUAUUGGUCAAUGGGCGAGAGCCUGAACCAGCCAAGUAGCGUGCAGGAAGACGGCCCUAUGGGUUGUAAACUGCUUUUAUAAGGGAAUAAAGUGGGUCACGUGUGACUUUUUGCAUGUACCUUAUGAAUAAGGACCGGCUAAUUCCGUG